UGUUGCGGUGAAUACGUUCCCGGGUCUUGUACACACCGCCCGUCAAACCAUGAAAGUGACCAACACCCGAAGUCCGAUUCGUCGGCCUAAGGUGGGGGCCAUGAUUGGGGUU
This 112-nucleotide ribosomal RNA is filed under the name uncultured bacterium. Its description in RNAcentral is "partial 16S ribosomal RNA". It matches the Rfam family "Bacterial small subunit ribosomal RNA", at positions 1355 to 1482 of the family's 1533-position model. The record is from RNAcentral.